Long non-coding RNA from Bolinopsis microptera, 626 nucleotides. RefSeq lists it as uncharacterized. The transcript is spliced from 2 exons. Lineage: Eukaryota; Metazoa; Ctenophora; Tentaculata; Lobata; Bolinopsidae. The record is from RefSeq and is a predicted model, not a curated record.
AGGUAUAAGAAAAUGUCAGAAAGGUUAACGAUAUUCAGUACUAUAGAAGACCUGAGAGGUUGCAGUGAUAACGCCUUAGUAGCAGAUAUAGAUGCAGUGGGUAGGGAAGUGAUUCUUAAGUAUAUUCUUGAAUUGAGGGAAGCAGCCAGGAUAGCCGAACUAGGUCCCCCAAUAGUGUGCCCAGGACCUCCAGAGUUACCUGUACUUUACUUAAACUCGGAGGAUGAAGAAGGAGAACAACAAGCUCGUCGCGCCAAAUCAUCUCGAGCACAGAUCAAGUUUACUGCUCGCUUCAAAAACGAAACAGCUGGUAAUAUAGACCUAAUUUGGAAGGAUUAUGAUGGGAAAGAAGUGGUAGUUAGGCAGGAUAUCAAGCCUGGAGACCCUCACGGAGAAUGUACUUACUUAACUCACCCUUUUAUUGCUAGAGACAGUGCAACAGGGAAACUGAGAUCUUUCAACUAUCAGUCUACAACAUCACUUGUUUUUGAGGGGCUCAAUUUCGGUGUCCCUCAUAAUGCUGACGUUAAUGUGACCAUUUGUGAGGAAAUUUCGAUGUAAAUGAAAAGUUGAUAAGCUGGAGGAGUUUUUCAUAAUCUAUCGUGGAAAAGUUGACCUUCAGAAAA